CCUACGGGAGGCAGCAGUGGGGAAUAUUGCGCAAUGGGCGAAAGCCUGACGCAGCGACGCCGCGUGGGGGAUGAAGGUCUUCGGAUCGUAAAACUCUGUCAGCAGAGAAGAACGGUCACUGUGCUAAUCAGCAGUGAAUUGACGGUACCUGAACAGGAAGCACCGGCUAACUCCGUGCCAGCAGCCGCGGUAAUACGGAGGGGGCGAGCGUUAAUCGGAAUUACUGGGCGUAAAGCGCUCGUAGGCGGUAUUUCAAGUCAAGGGUGAAAGCCCCGCGCUCAACGUGGGAAGUGCCUUUGAAACUGGGAAACUGGAGUGUGUGAGAGGAUAGUGGAACUCCAGGUGUAGGAGUGAAAGCCGUAGAUAUCUGGAGGAACAUCAGUGGCGAAGGCGACUAUCUGGCACAUAACUGACGCUGAGGAGCGAAAGCGUGGGUAGCAAACAGGAUUAGAUACCCUUGUAGUC
Molecule: ribosomal RNA, 465 nt
Filed under: uncultured bacterium
Lineage: Bacteria
Description: partial 16S ribosomal RNA
Rfam family: Bacterial small subunit ribosomal RNA
Source: RNAcentral